AUUGAACGCUGGCGGCAUGCUUUACACAUGCAAGUCGAACGGCAGCGCGGGCUUCGGCCUGGCGGCGAGUGGCGAACGGGUGAGUAAUACAUCGGAACGUGCCCAGUAGUGGGGGAUAGCUCGGCGAAAGCCGGAUUAAUACCGCAUACGACCUGAGGGUGAAAGCGGGGGAUCUUUGGACCUCGCGCUAUUGGAGCGGCCGAUGGCAGAUUGGCUAGUUGGUGGGGUAAAGGCCUACCAAGGCGACGAUCUGUAGCUGGUCUGAGAGGACGACCAGCCACACUGGGACUGAGACACGGCCCAGACUCCUACGGGAGGCAGCAGUGGGGAAUUUUGGACAAUGGGCGAAAGCCUGAUCCAGCAAUGCCGCGUGUGUGAUGAAGGCCUUCGGGUUGUAAAGCACUUUUGGCGGGAACGAAAAGGACUGUGCCAAUACCACGGCUCGAUGACGGUACCCGCAGAAUAAGCACCGGCUAACUACGUG
This 484-nucleotide ribosomal RNA is filed under the name uncultured bacterium. RNAcentral's name for it is "partial 16S ribosomal RNA". It matches the Rfam family "Bacterial small subunit ribosomal RNA", at positions 29 to 507 of the family's 1533-position model. The record is from RNAcentral.